RNAcentral lists this long non-coding RNA (777 nucleotides) under Oreochromis niloticus (Nile tilapia). RNAcentral describes it as "lncRNA (ENSONIG00000024057.2)". The record is from RNAcentral. Lineage: Eukaryota; Metazoa; Chordata; Actinopteri; Cichliformes; Cichlidae.
GCCAUCUCUUUUUAAUUUUUUUUCCCAAGUUGCAACGAAUUUUCUAUCUUUUUUUUUUUUAAGUCAAUUAGAGGACCAUGCGUAAACUCAACGGAGGUUAAGGAUGGUCAGUAGAUUUCAAUGACAGAUCAGGAAAUGUGAAUUUUGAGAACGGGCAAAAUUCCCUCCUUCAGCAAGAUCAGACACAGCCAGCGUCCGCCUCACUCCCAGACCCUUGUGGACAGAGCUCAUCCCAGAGCACUAAGGGCGAGAAGUCCGGCUGUGUUUCGCUGGAUUCCCGAAGAGCAGCUCUCUGCUCAGGAUGGACGGUCUCAAGGCUGAUACCUCACCGAUUGCUACCCGAGCCCCCCUGACAGGACAUGUGUGGUCCCAAACCGAGGGCAAGAAAUCGUACCUGUGAGAAGCCUUCAGGCAGAACAGGGAGAGGUGUGGAAGAAUCUGUUUCUGUCAGAGACGAGGAUGCUCAACUACAUGUCUUUGUUCCAUCUAUUCACUGAAUCAUUGGAGUUGUAACUAUAUGCACUUGGAAGAACCUGUGGCUGAAGUACUUCACAUUUAGAGUUUCACACAAGCACUGAAGAAACCAUUGCUAAAAUCAUGCCUUUGUAUAUGAAAUGCAUUUGGAAAAUACAGUAUGAAAGUAUGGUGAUAUUAUUUACUUUUAUAACAAUAAAAAAAUAUGAACACAAACAGACCAGACCAACAAUAAAAUGACCUUUUCACCCAAGUUCUGCAUGUGUAGCUUCAUUAUUUCUGCUAUGUACAGUAUUCAAAAAC